This 72-nucleotide transfer RNA is filed under the name Sphaerodactylus townsendi. RNAcentral's name for it is "tRNA-Ala". Lineage: Eukaryota; Metazoa; Chordata; Lepidosauria; Squamata; Sphaerodactylidae. The record is from RNAcentral.
GGGAUUGUGGCUCAAUGGUAGUGGAUUGGCUUGGCAUGCAGAAAAUCCCAGGUUCAAUCCCCAGCAUUUCCA